RNAcentral lists this ribosomal RNA (484 nucleotides) under uncultured bacterium. RNAcentral's name for it is "partial 16S ribosomal RNA". It matches the Rfam family "Bacterial small subunit ribosomal RNA", at positions 30 to 507 of the family's 1533-position model. The record is from RNAcentral.
AUUGAACGCUGGCGGCAGGCCUAACACAUGCAAGUCGAGCGGAUGAAGGGAGCUUGCUCCUGGAUUCAGCGGCGGACGGGUGAGUAAUGCCUAGGAAUCUGCCUGGUAGUGGGGGAUAACGUCCGGAAACGGGCGCUAAUACCGCAUACGUCCUGCGGGAGAAAGUGGGGGAUCUUCGGACCUCACGCUAUCAGAUGAGCCUAGGUCGGAUUAGCUAGUUGGUGGGGUAAAGGCCUACCAAGGCGACGAUCCGUAACUGGUCUGAGAGGAUGGUCAGUCACACUGGAACUGAGACACGGUCCAGACUCCUACGGGAGGCAGCAGUGGGGAAUAUUGGACAAUGGGCGAAAGCCUGAUCCAGCCAUGCCGCGUGUGUGAAGAAGGUCUUCGGAUUGUAAAGCACUUUAAGUUGGGAGGAAGGGCAGUAAGUUAAUACCUUGCUGUUUUGACGUUACCAACAGAAUAAGCACCGGCUAACUUCGUG